UAUAUUUGCCUCUGAACAGCACAAGAGCUAGCGCUAGGGUUAGCACCUAAUGCUAAUGCUGCCGCACCCAGCCUUGGUGCUGGAGAAACUUCACUGAAACUCAGCCUUAUAACACUGUACUUCAGCAGAGUGGGUUUACUGCUCCUCACAACCUGGCUAGUAAAAUUCAUACAUAAGGUGCACCAGAUUUUUACGGGGCUGAUGGUCAAUUUGCAACUAGGCUUCAUGGAUGAUGUCACGCUCUCAGACCUGCUACCUGACUACCUGACAGAGGACCACACAGGAGCUGCUGUGCUGUCUCUGAGGCAGGUCAGGACCCCUAUAACCAGCAGCAGAGUGAAGGACCAGACCCAGGAGCACUUGGAGUUUAAUUUUUAAUAUUUCAGUCUACACUGUACGGGUCAUUAGUGAAUAAAACCUAUUAGAACGAUAUUAUAACA
This 440-nucleotide long non-coding RNA is filed under the name Astyanax mexicanus (Mexican tetra). Its description in RNAcentral is "lncRNA (ENSAMXG00005015601.1)". The record is from RNAcentral. Lineage: Eukaryota; Metazoa; Chordata; Actinopteri; Characiformes; Acestrorhamphidae.